CAUCUCUACUAAAAAAAGAAAAAAAAUAUUAGCCGGGUAUGGUGGUGCAUGCCUGUAGUCCCAGCUACUCAGGAGUCUGAGGCAGGAGAAUCGCUUGAACCCAGGAGGCGGAGGUUGCAGUGAGUCGAGGUCAGGCCACUGCACUCCAGCCUGGGUGACAAGAGCGAAACUCUGUCUCAAAAAAAAGACUAUUUGGAGUAGCUAUGUGCAUGUAGUGGAGUGCUUGGCAGACGCUAGUUACUCUUAACGGCCGUCAUUGUUGUAGGUGAGCCGGCUGCAUUCUUAGAUUCCUUCCAGUUCAGAGUCCCUGGUGUUCUGUGAGUAGAGACACUAGACUGUAGACCCCAGGAGCUUGGCUGCUGGUCUCUGGGCACCCAGCUGCCCUGAUGUGGCGUGGCAGAGUAGGUGUGGGGAGAGAGGGCUGAGCUUUGGGGACAGAUUCACCACACUGGGUGAGAUGUAGCCCCAGCCUCCCCCAGGGCCUGUCCCUGCUGCAGCCUGGUACCUUCUUUCCUGCAGGAGCAGAUCAAUAUCACCCUGGACCACCGCUGCCGUAUCUUCCAGAACCUGGAUGGAGCCUUGGAUGAGGUCGUGCUCAAGUUUGAAAUGGGCCACGUGAGAGCGAGGAACCUGGCCUAUGACACCCUCCCGGUCCUGAUCCAUGGCAACGGGCCAACCAAGCUGCAGUUGAACUACUUGGGCAACUACAUCCCGCGCUUCUGGACCUUCGAGACAGGCUGCACCGUGUGUGACGAAGGCUUGCGAAGCCUCAAGGGCAUUGGGGAUGAAGCUCUGCCCACGGUCCUGGUUGGCGUGUUCAUCGAACAGCCCACGCCGUUCGUGUCCCUGUUCUUCCAGCGG
This 861-nucleotide small RNA is filed under the name Pongo abelii (Sumatran orangutan). RNAcentral's name for it is "retained intron". The record is from RNAcentral. Lineage: Eukaryota; Metazoa; Chordata; Mammalia; Primates; Hominidae.